This 21-nucleotide non-coding RNA is filed under the name Caenorhabditis elegans. The record is from RNAcentral. Lineage: Eukaryota; Metazoa; Nematoda; Chromadorea; Rhabditida; Rhabditidae.
UCCCGUGACUUUAUGAUGUUU